CCUACGGGGAGCAGCAGUGGGGAAUAUUGCACAAUGGGGGAAACCCUGAUGCAGCGACGCCGCGUGAGCGAUGAAGUAUUUCGGUAUGUAAAGCUCUAUCAGCAGGGUAGAAAAUGACGGUACCUGACUAAGAAGCCCCGGCUAACUACGUGCCAGCAGCCGCGGUAAUACGUAGGGGGCAAGCGUUAUCCGGAUUUACUGGGUGUAAAGGGAGCGUAGACGGGAAGGCAAUUCAGGAGGGAAAGCCCAAGGCUCAACCAUGGGACUGCUUUUGAAACUGGCAAACUAGAGUACGGGAGAGGUAAGAGGAAUGCCUGGUGUAGCGGUGAAAUGCGUAGAUAUUAGGAGGAACACCAGUGGCGAAGGCGGCUUACUGGACCGAAACUGACGUUGAGGCUCGAAAGCGUGGGGAGCAAACAGGAUUAGAUACCCGUGUAGUC
This 440-nucleotide ribosomal RNA is filed under the name uncultured bacterium. Its description in RNAcentral is "partial 16S ribosomal RNA". It matches the Rfam family "Bacterial small subunit ribosomal RNA", at positions 338 to 795 of the family's 1533-position model. The record is from RNAcentral.